This 1204-nucleotide long non-coding RNA is filed under the name Monodelphis domestica (gray short-tailed opossum). RNAcentral's name for it is "lncRNA (ENSMODG00000030286.2)". The record is from RNAcentral. Lineage: Eukaryota; Metazoa; Chordata; Mammalia; Didelphimorphia; Didelphidae.
GGAAGGAGGUAUUCAGGUGUGACAGGCGGGGUGGGGCAAGAAGAGGGGAGGGUUGGGAAGGAUUGGGAUGAAAGCUCCUAGGCAUUAGGCUCACGGGGGAUCACCAGGGCUUUGCCUGGGCGUAGAGCUCAAUUCAAGAUUCAGUAUCACAGAGAUUAGGAGAAUAGGAGGUGGGGUAGGCGGAAUCGUUUCGAACCACCUGAUGCCAGGCCGUUUCAUGCCAACCCAGGUUCUGAGGACCAUUCUGGAUUAUUCCGGGCUAUUCCGGGUUAACGCCCAAUGAAGAACAAAUUCAGUCAGAACCACGUGGUCCUGGAGAGGUCUGUGGUUGGUCCUCGCUGGAGCGUGCUGUGACGCAAUGACAUCAGCAGGACCCUUGCUUGUAGUUCCGAUGACAUCAGUGAGUGCGCCUCCACAGCCAAGGCCAUGAUGACAUCAGUCUGCGCCAGAAGACUGCGGUGGUGGUAAUGAUGCAAUGAGAGCCAGGUUGCAAGGGCGGCGCUAAGAGACCUUAAGAGCUGGUGGCUGGUUAACCUCCUGGAUCCAGGCCAGAAGAGGCUCUUCUUCUGCAGUAAAUGGAACAAUAGACUGUAGAGGAGAGGGGCAUCAGGACAGAAGGUUCCUCACACUGUUGUGCCUGGGGACCCUCAUCCCCACCACAGCCAGGUGGGAGGAAGGAAUGUCGGGAACCCUUAGUAGGCCGCUGCCGUCAGGGCCACCCCAGGCUCUGGCGUACCUCUCAGCUGGGAGAAACCAAGAAAUGAAGUGAUCUUAAUGCAAAUGGCCCAGUAGACAGCUCUACCCACCCUGAGGAAGGGCUUUUCUGGAGCCCAAGGCAGAGGCCCCCUCCUGGAAACCAGGGCCAGCCUCGGAGCAACGGCCAGGCCGUCAGGCAGAUUUUUAAGUAAAAGCUGCUUCCUACAUCCGAAAUGUUCUUCCAUCUUUCCACUUCAAAUUUCUGGUUUUCUUCAUGAGUUCAGGUCAGGUGUUAUUUUAUACAUCCAGCCUCUAAAUGACUUUACAGAGAUUUUAUUUUUGCUUAUCUGUGCAUAUAUAUUUUCCCUAACAAAAUGUAGAGUCCUUUAGAACAGAACCUGUUUUCAUUUUUUCUUUGUCUCUUUCAAAGGCUUUCAGGAAACACUUAGGGUAUCCGAUUUGAAUGGAAUCAAAAUGAAUGGAGCCAAAUUGAAUUUACACUGGGCUU